CCUACGGGAGGCAGCAGUGAGGAAUAUUGGUCAAUGGACCAGAGUCUGAACCAGCCAAGUAGCGUGAAGGAUGACUGCCCUAUGGGUUGUAAACUUCUUUUAUAUGGGAAUAAAACGUUCCACGUGUGGGAUUUUGUAUGUACCAUAUGAAUAAGGAUCGGCUAACUCCGUGCCAGCAGCCGCGGUAAUACGGAGGAUCCGAGCGUUAUCCGGAUUUAUUGGGUUUAAAGGGAGCGUAGGUGGAUUGUUAAGUCAGUUGUGAAAGUUUGCGGCUCAACCGUAAAAUUGCAGUUGAAACUGGCAGUCUUGAGUACAGUAGAGGUGGGCGGAAUUCGUGGUGUAGCGGUGAAAUGCUUAGAUAUCACGAAGAACUCCGAUUGCGAAGGCAGUUCACUGGACUGCAACUGACACUGAGGCUCGAAAGUGUGGGUAUCAAACAGGAUUAGAUACCCGUGUAGUC
Molecule: ribosomal RNA, 460 nt
Filed under: uncultured bacterium
Lineage: Bacteria
Description: partial 16S ribosomal RNA
Rfam family: Bacterial small subunit ribosomal RNA
Source: RNAcentral